Molecule: ribosomal RNA, 492 nt
Filed under: uncultured bacterium
Lineage: Bacteria
Description: partial 16S ribosomal RNA
Rfam family: Bacterial small subunit ribosomal RNA
Source: RNAcentral
AGUGAACGCUGGCGGUAGGCCUAACACAUGCAAGUCGAACGGCAGCACAGUAAGAGCUUGCUCUUACGGGUGGCGAGUGGCGGACGGGAGAGGAAUACAUCGGAAUCUACUUUUUCGGGGGGGAUAACGAAGGGAAACUUACGCUAAUACAGCAUACGACCUACGGGUGAAAGCAGGGGAUCUUCUGACCGUGCGCGGUUGAAUGAGCCGAUGUCGGAUUAGCUGGUUGGCGGGGUAAAGGCCAACGAAGGCGACGAUCCGUAGCUGGUCUGAGAGGCUGGUCGGCCACCCUGGAGCUGAGCCGCGGUCCAGACUCCUACGGGAGGCCGCAGUGGCGAAUGUUGGGCAGUGGGCGCGAGCCUUGUCCAGCCGUCCCGCGUGGGUGGAGACGGCCUUCGGGUUGUAAUGCCCUCUUUUUGGGAAAGAAAAGCAGCAGGUUAAUACCACGCUGUUCUGACGGUACCCAAUGAAUAAGCACCGGCUAACUUCGUG